GAUAUAGGUAGAGACAGAGAGAGGGAUAGAGGUAGAGACAGAGAGAGGGAUAGAGGUAGAGACAGAGAGAGGGAUAGAGGUAGAGACAGAGAGAGGGAUAGAGGUAGAGACAGAGAGAGGGAUAUAGGUAGAGACAGAGAGAGGGAUAGAGGUAGAGACAGAGAGAGGGAUAGAGGUAGAGACAGAGAGAGGGAUAGAGGUAGAGACAGAGAGAGGGAUAGAGGUAGAGACAGAGAGAGGGAUAGAGGUAGAGACAGAGAGAGGGAUAGAGGUAGAGACAGAGAGAGGGAUAGAGGUAGAGACAGAGAGAGGGAUAGAGGUAGAGACAGAGAGAGGGAUAUAGGUAGAGACAGAGAGAGGGAUAUAGGUAGAGACAGAGAGAGGGUUAUAGGUAGAGACAGAGAGAGGGAUAUAGGUAGAGACAGAGAGAGGGAUAGAGGUAGAGACAGAGAGGGA
Long non-coding RNA from Oncorhynchus keta (chum salmon), 456 nucleotides. RefSeq lists it as uncharacterized. The record is from RefSeq and is a predicted model, not a curated record. NCBI's taxonomy places the organism in Eukaryota, Metazoa, Chordata, Actinopteri, Salmoniformes, Salmonidae. The transcript has 4 exons.